RNAcentral lists this ribosomal RNA (253 nucleotides) under uncultured bacterium. RNAcentral describes it as "partial 16S ribosomal RNA". It matches the Rfam family "Bacterial small subunit ribosomal RNA", at positions 524 to 776 of the family's 1533-position model. The record is from RNAcentral.
UACGUAGGGGGCGAGCGUUGUCCGGAAUCAUUGGGCGUAAAGCGCGUGUAGGCGGCUUGGUAAGUCCGGUGUGAAACCUUGGGGCUCAACCCCAAGCCUGCACUGGAUACUGCCUCGCUUGAGUCCGGGAGGGGAGAGCGGAAUUCCUAGUGUAGCGGUGAAAUGCGCAGAUAUCAGGAGGAACACCGAUGGCGAAGGCAGGUCUCUGGGCCGAUAUUGACGCUGAGGAGCGAAAGCGUGGGGAGCGAACAGG